GCAGCCGGACGGCUCGUCGCCGGCGCCAAGCGCGCAGGAGGAAAGUCCGGGCAACAAGAGCACCAUAUUUCUUAACGGGAAGCUGUCGGUGACGGCAGAGGCAACGUGACAGAAAAUAACCGCCCCGUUUUGGGGUAAGGGUGAAAAGGUGGGGUAAGAGCCCACCGGGUGACAUAGUGAUAUGGCAUGCCGCACGCCUUAUGGGUUGCAAGGUCAAGUAUACCGGCUAUUAAGGACUGCUCGUCCGUUGCCGGGGGGUAGACUGCUUUAGACACAUGGUAACAUGUGCCAUAGAUAAAUGACGGGCAGGGCUUUGUAUGACAGUUUCUGUCUUAUCAUAGCCCUACAUAACCCGGCUUAUAGUUCGACUGCUUUU
RNAcentral lists this RNase P RNA (376 nucleotides) under Bacteroidales bacterium. RNAcentral's name for it is "RNase P RNA component class A". It matches the Rfam family "Bacterial RNase P class A". From Rfam's summary of the family: Ribonuclease P (RNase P) is a ubiquitous endoribonuclease, found in archaea, bacteria and eukarya as well as chloroplasts and mitochondria. RNAcentral also lists the same sequence under 1 other name. The record is from RNAcentral. Lineage: Bacteria; Pseudomonadati; Bacteroidota; Bacteroidia; Bacteroidales.